RNAcentral lists this long non-coding RNA (33082 nucleotides) under Cucumis sativus (cucumber). RNAcentral's name for it is "long non-coding RNA (CSAT_LNC001527)". The record is from RNAcentral. Lineage: Eukaryota; Viridiplantae; Streptophyta; Magnoliopsida; Cucurbitales; Cucurbitaceae.
CACCGUUCUAAGAUGGGUCCUCUCUUCGUAGGCUAAUGCAUUGGCCCUUUUUGACCCGUUUUGGGGCGAAAACAAAAACUGACUCCCGGCAUAUUUUUUUCGGCCUUUAUGGGCAGAGAACUUUAAUACCGCUCGAAAUGAGGCCACCCAGUAGUUAGGUGUGAAUUUUCGAGACCUUUGGCACCGUUCUAAGAUGGGUCCUCUCUUCGUAGGCUAAUGCAUUGGCCCUUUUUGACCCGUUUUGGGGCGAAAACAAAAACUGACUCCCGGGCAUAUUUUUUUCGGCCUUUAUGGGCAGAGAACUUUAAUACCGCUCAAAAUGAGGCCACCCAGUAGUUAGGUGUGAAUUUUCGAGACCUUUGGCACCGUUCUAAGAUGGGUCCUCUCUUCGUAGGCUAAUGCAUUGGCCCUUUUUGACCCGUUUUGGGGCGAAAACAAAAACUGACUCCCGGGCAUAUUUUUUUCGGCCUUUAUGGGCAGAGAACUUUAAUACCGCUCAAAAUGAGGCCACCCAGUAGUUAGGUGUGAAUUUUCGAGACCUUUGGCACCGUUCUAAGAUGGGUCCUCUCUUCGUAGGCUAAUGCAUUGGCCCUUUUUGACCCGUUUUGGGGCGAAAACAAAAACUGACUCCCGGGCAUAUUUUUUUCGGCCUUUAUGGGCAGAGAACUUUAAUACCGCUCAAAAUGAGGCCACCCAGUAGUUAGGUGUGAAUUUUCGAGACCUUUGGCACCGUUCUAAGAUGGGUCCUCUCUUCGUAGGCUAAUGCAUUGGCCCUUUUUGACCCGUUUUGGGGCGAAAACAAAAACUGACUCCCGGGCAUAUUUUUUUCGGCCUUUAUGGGCAGAGAACUUUAAUACCGCUCGAAAUGAGGCCACCCAGUAGUUAGGUGUGAAUUUUCGAGACCUUUGGCACCGUUCUAAGAUGGGUCCUCUCUUCGUAGGCUAAUGCAUUGGCCCUUUUUGACCCGUUUUGGGGCGAAAACAAAAACUGACUCCCGGGCAUAUUUUUUUCGGCCUUUAUGGGCAGAGAACUUUAAUACCGCUCAAAAUGAGGCCACCCAGUAGUUAGGUGUGAAUUUUCGAGACCUUUGGCACCGUUCUAAGAUGGGUCCUCUCUUCGUAGGCUAAUGCAUUGGCCCUUUUUGACCCGUUUUGGGGCGAAAACAAAAACUGACUCCCGGGCAUAUUUUUUUCGGCCUUUAUGGGCAGAGAACUUUAAUGCCGCUCGGAAUGAGGCCACCCAGUAGUUAGGUGUGAAUUUUCGAGACCUUUGGCACCGUUCUAAGAUGGGUCCUCUCUUCGUAGGCUAAUGCAUUGGCCCUUUUUGACCCGUUUUGGGGCGAAAACAAAAACUGACUCCCGGGCAUAUUUUUUUUCGGCCUUUAUGGGCAGAGAACUUUAAUGCCGCUCGGAAUGAGGCCACCCAGUAGUUAGGUGUGAAUUUUCGAGACCUUUGGCACCGUUCUAAGAUGGGUCCUCUCUUCGUAGGCUAAUGCAUUGGCCCUUUUUGACCCGUUUUGGGGCGAAAACAAAAACUGACUCCCGGGCAUAUUUUUUUCGGCCUUUAUGGGCAGAGAACUUUAAUGCCGCUCAGAAUGAGGCCACCCAGUAGUUAGGUGUGAAUUUUCGAGACCUUUGGCACCGUUCUAAGAUGGGUCCUCUCUUCGUAGGCUAAUGCAUUGGCCCUUUUUGACCCGUUUUGGGGCGAAAACAAAAACUGACUCCCGGGCAUAUUUUUUUUCGGCCUUUAUGGGCAGAGAACUUUAAUGCCGCUCAGAAUGAGGCCACCCAGUAGUUAGGUGUGAAUUUUCGAGACCUUUGGCACCGUUCUAAGAUGGGUCCUCUCUUCGUAGGCUAAUGCAUUGGCCCUUUUUGACCCGUUUUGGGGCGAAAACAAAAACUGACUCCCGGGCAUAUUUUUUUCGGCCUUUAUGGGCAGAGAACUUUAAUGCCGCUCGGAAUGAGGCCACCCAGUAGUUAGGUGUGAAUUUUCGAGACCUUUGGCACCGUUCUAAGAUGGGUCCUCUCUUCGUAGGCUAAUGCAUUGGCCCUUUUUGACCCGUUUUGGGGCGAAAACAAAAACUGACUCCCGGGCAUAUUUUUUUCGGCCUUUAUGGGCAGAGAACUUUAAUGCCGCUCGGAAUGAGGCCACCCAGUAGUUAGGUGUGAAUUUUCGAGACCUUUGGCACCGUUCUAAGAUGGGUCCUCUCUUCGUAGGCUAAUGCAUUGGCCCUUUUUUGACCCGUUUUGGGGCGAAAACAAAAACUGACUCCCGGGCAUAUUUUUUUCGGCCUUUAUGGGCAGAGAACUUUAAUGCCGCUCAGAAUGAGGCCACCCAGUAGUUAGGUGUGAAUUUUCGAGACCUUUGGCACCGUUCUAAGAUGGGUCCUCUCUUCGUAGGCUAAUGCAUUGGCCCUUUUUGACCCGUUUUGGGGCGAAAACAAAAACUGACUCCCGGGCAUAUUUUUUUCGGCCUUUAUGGGCAGAGAACUUUAAUGCCGCUCAGAAUGAGGCCACCCAGUAGUUAGGUGUGAAUUUUCGAGACCUUUGGCACCGUUCUAAGAUGGGUCCUCUCUUCGUAGGCUAAUGCAUUGGCCCUUUUUGACCCGUUUUGGGGCGAAAACAAAAACUGACUCCCGGGCAUAUUUUUUUCGGCCUUUAUGGGCAGAGAACUUUAAUGCCGCUCAGAAUGAGGCCACCCAGUAGUUAGGUGUGAAUUUUCGAGACCUUUGGCACCGUUCUAAGAUGGGUCCUCUCUUCGUAGGCUAAUGCAUUGGCCCUUUUUGACCCGUUUUGGGGCGAAAACAAAAACUGACUCCCGGGCAUAUUUUUUUCGGCCUUUAUGGGCAGAGAACUUUAAUGCCGCUCAGAAUGAGGCCACCCAGUAGUUAGGUGUGAAUUUUCGAGACCUUUGGCACCGUUCUAAGAUGGGUCCUCUCUUCGUAGGCUAAUGCAUUGGCCCUUUUUGACCCGUUUUGGGGCGAAAACAAAAACUGACUCCCGGGCAUAUUUUUUUUCGGCCUUUAUGGGCAGAGAACUUUAAUGCCGCUCAGAAUGAGGCCACCCAGUAGUUAGGUGUGAAUUUUCGAGACCUUUGGCACCGUUCUAAGAUGGGUCCUCUCUUCGUAGGCUAAUGCAUUGGCCCUUUUUGACCCGUUUUGGGGCGAAAACAAAAACUGACUCCCGGGCAUAUUUUUUUCGGCCUUUAUGGGCAGAGAACUUUAAUGCCGCUCAGAAUGAGGCCACCCAGUAGUUAGGUGUGAAUUUUCGAGACCUCUGGCACCGUUCUAAGAUGGGUCCUCUCUUCGUAGGCUAAUGCAUUGGCCCUUUUUGACCCGUUUUGGGGCGAAAACAAAAACUGACUCCCGGGCAUAUUUUUUUCGGCCUUUAUGGGCAGAGAACUUUAAUGCCGCUCAGAAUGAGGCCACCCAGUAGUUAGGUGUGAAUUUUCGAGACCUCUGGCACCGUUCUAAGAUGGGUCCUCUCUUCGUAGGCUAAUGCAUUGGCCCUUUUUGACCCGUUUUGGGGCGAAAACAAAAACUGACUCCCGGGCAUAUUUUUUUCGGCCUUUAUGGGCAGAGAACUUUAAUGCCGCUCAGAAUGAGGCCACCCAGUAGUUAGGUGUGAAUUUUCGAGACCUCUGGCACCGUUCUAAGAUGGGUCCUCUCUUCGUAGGCUAAUGCAUUGGCCCUUUUUGACCCGUUUUGGGGCGAAAACAAAAACUGACUCCCGGGCAUAUUUUUUUCGGCCUUUAUGGGCAGAGAACUUUAAUGCCGCUCAGAAUGAGGCCACCCAGUAGUUAGGUGUGAAUUUUCGAGACCUCUGGCACCGUUCUAAGAUGGGUCCUCUCUUCGUAGGCUAAUGCAUUGGCCCUUUUUGACCCGUUUUGGGGCGAAAACAAAAACUGACUCCCGGGCAUAUUUUUUUCGGCCUUUAUGGGCAGAGAACUUUAAUGCCGCUCAGAAUGAGGCCACCCAGUAGUUAGGUGUGAAUUUUCGAGACCUCUGGCACCGUUCUAAGAUGGGUCCUCUCUUCGUAGGCUAAUGCAUUGGCCCUUUUUGACCCGUUUUGGGGCGAAAACAAAAACUGACUCCCGGGCAUAUUUUUUUCGGCCUUUAUGGGCAGAGAACUUUAAUGCCGCUCAGAAUGAGGCCACCCAGUAGUUAGGUGUGAAUUUUCGAGACCUCUGGCACCGUUCUAAGAUGGGUCCUCUCUUCGUAGGCUAAUGCAUUGGCCCUUUUUGACCCGUUUUGGGGCGAAAACAAAAACUGACUCCCGGGCAUAUUUUUUUCGGCCUUUAUGGGCAGAGAACUUUAAUGCCGCUCAGAAUGAGGCCACCCAGUAGUUAGGUGUGAAUUUUCGAGACCUCUGGCACCGUUCUAAGAUGGGUCCUCUCUUCGUAGGCUAAUGCAUUGGCCCUUUUUGACCCGUUUUGGGGCGAAAACAAAAACUGACUCCCGGGCAUAUUUUUUUCGGCCUUUAUGGGCAGAGAACUUUAAUGCCGCUCAGAAUGAGGCCACCCAGUAGUUAGGUGUGAAUUUUCGAGACCUCUGGCACCGUUCUAAGAUGGGUCCUCUCUUCGUAGGCUAAUGCAUUGGCCCUUUUUGACCCGUUUUGGGGCGAAAACAAAAACUGACUCCCGGGCAUAUUUUUUUCGGCCUUUAUGGGCAGAGAACUUUAAUGCCGCUCAGAAUGAGGCCACCCAGUAGUUAGGUGUGAAUUUUCGAGACCUCUGGCACCGUUCUAAGAUGGGUCCUCUCUUCGUAGGCUAAUGCAUUGGCCCUUUUUGACCCGUUUUGGGGCGAAAACAAAAACUGACUCCCGGGCAUAUUUUUUUCGGCCUUUUAUGGGCAGAGAACUUUAAUGCCGCUCAGAAUGAGGCCACCCAGUAGUUAGGUGUGAAUUUUCGAGACCUCUGGCACCGUUCUAAGAUGGGUCCUCUCUUCGUAGGCUAAUGCAUUGGCCCUUUUUGACCCGUUUUGGGGCGAAAACAAAAACUGACUCCCGGGCAUAUUUUUUUCGGCCUUUAUGGGCAGAGAACUUUAAUGCCGCUCAGAAUGAGGCCACCCAGUAGUUAGGUGUGAAUUUUCGAGACCUCUGGCACCGUUCUAAGAUGGGUCCUCUCUUCGUAGGCUAAUGCAUUGGCCCUUUUUGACCCGUUUUGGGGCGAAAACAAAAACUGACUCCCGGGCAUAUUUUUUUCGGCCUUUAUGGGCAGAGAACUUUAAUGCCGCUCAGAAUGAGGCCACCCAGUAGUUAGGUGUGAAUUUUCGAGACCUCUGGCACCGUUCUAAGAUGGGUCCUCUCUUCGUAGGCUAAUGCAUUGGCCCUUUUUGACCCGUUUUGGGGCGAAAACAAAAACUGACUCCCGGGCAUAUUUUUUUCGGCCUUUAUGGGCAGAGAACUUUAAUGCCGCUCAGAAUGAGGCCACCCAGUAGUUAGGUGUGAAUUUUCGAGACCUCUGGCACCGUUCUAAGAUGGGUCCUCUCUUCGUAGGCUAAUGCAUUGGCCCUUUUUGACCCGUUUUGGGGCGAAAACAAAAACUGACUCCCGGGCAUAUUUUUUUCGGCCUUUAUGGGCAGAGAACUUUAAUGCCGCUCAGAAUGAGGCCACCCAGUAGUUAGGUGUGAAUUUUCGAGACCUCUGGCACCGUUCUAAGAUGGGUCCUCUCUUCGUAGGCUAAUGCAUUGGCCCUUUUUGACCCGUUUUGGGGCGAAAAAAAAAAACUGACUCCCGGGCAUAUUUUUUUCGGCCUUUAUGGGCAGAGAACUUUAAUGCCGCUCAGAAUGAGGCCACCCAGUAGUUAGGUGUGAAUUUUCGAGACCUCUGGCACCGUUCUAAGAUGGGUCCUCUCUUCGUAGGCUAAUGCAUUGGCCCUUUUUGACCCGUUUUGGGGCGAAAACAAAAACUGACUCCCGGGCAUAUUUUUUUCGGCCUUUAUGGGCAGAGAACUUUAAUGCCGCUCAGAAUGAGGCCACCCAGUAGUUAGGUGUGAAUUUUCGAGACCUCUGGCACCGUUCUAAGAUGGGUCCUCUCUUCGUAGGCUAAUGCAUUGGCCCUUUUUGACCCGUUUUGGGGCGAAAACAAAAACUGACUCCCGGGCAUAUUUUUUUCGGCCUUUAUGGGCAGAGAACUUUAAUGCCGCUCAGAAUGAGGCCACCCAGUAGUUAGGUGUGAAUUUUCGAGACCUCUGGCACCGUUCUAAGAUGGGUCCUCUCUUCGUAGGCUAAUGCAUUGGCCCUUUUUGACCCGUUUUGGGGCGAAAACAAAAACUGACUCCCGGGCAUAUUUUUUUCGGCCUUUAUGGGCAGAGAACUUUAAUGCCGCUCAGAAUGAGGCCACCCAGUAGUUAGGUGUGAAUUUUCGAGACCUCUGGCACCGUUCUAAGAUGGGUCCUCUCUUCGUAGGCUAAUGCAUUGGCCCUUUUUGACCCGUUUUGGGGCGAAAACAAAAACUGACUCCCGGGCAUAUUUUUUUCGGCCUUUAUGGGCAGAGAACUUUAAUGCCGCUCAGAAUGAGGCCACCCAGUAGUUAGGUGUGAAUUUUCGAGACCUCUGGCACCGUUCUAAGAUGGGUCCUCUCUUCGUAGGCUAAUGCAUUGGCCCUUUUUGACCCGUUUUGGGGCGAAAACAAAAACUGACUCCCGGGCAUAUUUUUUUCGGCCUUUAUGGGCAGAGAACUUUAAUGCCGCUCAGAAUGAGGCCACCCAGUAGUUAGGUGUGAAUUUUCGAGACCUCUGGCACCGUUCUAAGAUGGGUCCUCUCUUCGUAGGCUAAUGCAUUGGCCCUUUUUGACCCGUUUUGGGGCGAAAACAAAAACUGACUCCCGGGCAUAUUUUUUUCGGCCUUUAUGGGCAGAGAACUUUAAUACCGCUCAGAAUGAGGCCACCCAGUAGUUAGGUGUGAAUUUUCGAGACCUCUGGCACCGUUCUAAGAUGGGUCCUCUCUUCGUAGGCUAAUGCAUUGGCCCUUUUUGACCCGUUUUGGGGCGAAAACAAAAACUGACUCCCGGGCAUAUUUUUUUCGGCCUUUAUGGGCAGAGAACUUUAAUGCCGCUCAGAAUGAGGCCACCCAGUAGUUAGGUGUGAAUUUUCGAGACCUCUGGCACCGUUCUAAGAUGGGUCCUCUCUUCGUAGGCUAAUGCAUUGGCCCUUUUUGACCCGUUUUGGGGCGAAAACAAAAACUGACUCCCGGGCAUAUUUUUUUCGGCCUUUAUGGGCAGAGAACUUUAAUACCGCUCAGAAUGAGGCCACCCAGUAGUUAGGUGUGAAUUUUCGAGACCUCUGGCACCGUUCUAAGAUGGGUCCUCUCUUCGUAGGCUAAUGCAUUGGCCCUUUUUGACCCGUUUUGGGGCGAAAACAAAAACUGACUCCCGGGCAUAUUUUUUUCGGCCUUUAUGGGCAGAGAACUUUAAUACCGCUCAGAAUGAGGCCACCCAGUAGUUAGGUGUGAAUUUUCGAGACCUCUGGCACCGUUCUAAGAUGGGUCCUCUCUUCGUAGGCUAAUGCAUUGGCCCUUUUUGACCCGUUUUGGGGCGAAAACAAAAACUGACUCCCGGGCAUAUUUUUUUCGGCCUUUAUGGGCAGAGAACUUUAAUACCGCUCAGAAUGAGGCCACCCAGUAGUUAGGUGUGAAUUUUCGAGACCUCUGGCACCGUUCUAAGAUGGGUCCUCUCUUCGUAGGCUAAUGCAUUGGCCCUUUUUGACCCGUUUUGGGGCGAAAACAAAAACUGACUCCCGGGCAUAUUUUUUUCGGCCUUUAUGGGCAGAGAACUUUAAUACCGCUCAGAAUGAGGCCACCCAGUAGUUAGGUGUGAAUUUUCGAGACCUCUGGCACCGUUCUAAGAUGGGUCCUCUCUUCGUAGGCUAAUGCAUUGGCCCUUUUUGACCCGUUUUGGGGCGAAAACAAAAACUGACUCCCGGGCAUAUUUUUUUCGGCCUUUAUGGGCAGAGAACUUUAAUGCCGCUCAGAAUGAGGCCACCCAGUAGUUAGGUGUGAAUUUUCGAGACCUCUGGCACCGUUCUAAGAUGGGUCCUCUCUUCGUAGGCUAAUGCAUUGGCCCUUUUUGACCCGUUUUGGGGCGAAAACAAAAACUGACUCCCGGGCAUAUUUUUUUCGGCCUUUAUGGGCAGAGAACUUUAAUACCGCUCAGAAUGAGGCCACCCAGUAGUUAGGUGUGAAUUUUCGAGACCUCUGGCACCGUUCUAAGAUGGGUCCUCUCUUCGUAGGCUAAUGCAUUGGCCCUUUUUGACCCGUUUUGGGGCGAAAACAAAAACUGACUCCCGGGCAUAUUUUUUUCGGCCUUUAUGGGCAGAGAACUUUAAUGCCGCUCAGAAUGAGGCCACCCAGUAGUUAGGUGUGAAUUUUCGAGACCUCUGGCACCGUUCUAAGAUGGGUCCUCUCUUCGUAGGCUAAUGCAUUGGCCCUUUUUGACCCGUUUUGGGGCGAAAACAAAAACUGACUCCCGGGCAUAUUUUUUUCGGCCUUUAUGGGCAGAGAACUUUAAUGCCGCUCAGAAUGAGGCCACCCAGUAGUUAGGUGUGAAUUUUCGAGACCUCUGGCACCGUUCUAAGAUGGGUCCUCUCUUCGUAGGCUAAUGCAUUGGCCCUUUUUGACCCGUUUUGGGGCGAAAACAAAAACUGACUCCCGGGCAUAUUUUUUUCGGCCUUUAUGGGCAGAGAACUUUAAUACCGCUCAGAAUGAGGCCACCCAGUAGUUAGGUGUGAAUUUUCGAGACCUCUGGCACCGUUCUAAGAUGGGUCCUCUCUUCGUAGGCUAAUGCAUUGGCCCUUUUUGACCCGUUUUGGGGCGAAAACAAAAACUGACUCCCGGGCAUAUUUUUUUCGGCCUUUAUGGGCAGAGAACUUUAAUGCCGCUCAGAAUGAGGCCACCCAGUAGUUAGGUGUGAAUUUUCGAGACCUCUGGCACCGUUCUAAGAUGGGUCCUCUCUUCGUAGGCUAAUGCAUUGGCCCUUUUUGACCCGUUUUGGGGCGAAAACAAAAACUGACUCCCGGGCAUAUUUUUUUCGGCCUUUAUGGGCAGAGAACUUUAAUGCCGCUCAGAAUGAGGCCACCCAGUAGUUAGGUGUGAAUUUUCGAGACCUCUGGCACCGUUCUAAGAUGGGUCCUCUCUUCGUAGGCUAAUGCAUUGGCCCUUUUUGACCCGUUUUGGGGCGAAAACAAAAACUGACUCCCGGGCAUAUUUUUUUCGGCCUUUAUGGGCAGAGAACUUUAAUGCCGCUCAGAAUGAGGCCACCCAGUAGUUAGGUGUGAAUUUUCGAGACCUCUGGCACCGUUCUAAGAUGGGUCCUCUCUUCGUAGGCUAAUGCAUUGGCCCUUUUUGACCCGUUUUGGGGCGAAAACAAAAACUGACUCCCGGGCAUAUUUUUUUCGGCCUUUAUGGGCAGAGAACUUUAAUGCCGCUCAGAAUGAGGCCACCCAGUAGUUAGGUGUGAAUUUUCGAGACCUCUGGCACCGUUCUAAGAUGGGUCCUCUCUUCGUAGGCUAAUGCAUUGGCCCUUUUUGACCCGUUUUGGGGCGAAAACAAAAACUGACUCCCGGGCAUAUUUUUUUCGGCCUUUAUGGGCAGAGAACUUUAAUGCCGCUCAGAAUGAGGCCACCCAGUAGUUAGGUGUGAAUUUUCGAGACCUCUGGCACCGUUCUAAGAUGGGUCCUCUCUUCGUAGGCUAAUGCAUUGGCCCUUUUUGACCCGUUUUGGGGCGAAAACAAAAACUGACUCCCGGGCAUAUUUUUUUCGGCCUUUAUGGGCAGAGAACUUUAAUGCCGCUCAGAAUGAGGCCACCCAGUAGUUAGGUGUGAAUUUUCGAGACCUCUGGCACCGUUCUAAGAUGGGUCCUCUCUUCGUAGGCUAAUGCAUUGGCCCUUUUUGACCCGUUUUGGGGCGAAAACAAAAACUGACUCCCGGGCAUAUUUUUUUCGGCCUUUAUGGGCAGAGAACUUUAAUGCCGCUCAGAAUGAGGCCACCCAGUAGUUAGGUGUGAAUUUUCGAGACCUCUGGCACCGUUCUAAGAUGGGUCCUCUCUUCGUAGGCUAAUGCAUUGGCCCUUUUUGACCCGUUUUGGGGCGAAAACAAAAACUGACUCCCGGGCAUAUUUUUUUCGGCCUUUAUGGGCAGAGAACUUUAAUGCCGCUCAGAAUGAGGCCACCCAGUAGUUAGGUGUGAAUUUUCGAGACCUCUGGCACCGUUCUAAGAUGGGUCCUCUCUUCGUAGGCUAAUGCAUUGGCCCUUUUUGACCCGUUUUGGGGCGAAAACAAAAACUGACUCCCGGGCAUAUUUUUUUCGGCCUUUAUGGGCAGAGAACUUUAAUGCCGCUCAGAAUGAGGCCACCCAGUAGUUAGGUGUGAAUUUUCGAGACCUCUGGCACCGUUCUAAGAUGGGUCCUCUCUUCGUAGGCUAAUGCAUUGGCCCUUUUUGACCCGUUUUGGGGCGAAAACAAAAACUGACUCCCGGGCAUAUUUUUUUCGGCCUUUAUGGGCAGAGAACUUUAAUGCCGCUCAGAAUGAGGCCACCCAGUAGUUAGGUGUGAAUUUUCGAGACCUCUGGCACCGUUCUAAGAUGGGUCCUCUCUUCGUAGGCUAAUGCAUUGGCCCUUUUUGACCCGUUUUGGGGCGAAAACAAAAACUGACUCCCGGGCAUAUUUUUUUCGGCCUUUAUGGGCAGAGAACUUUAAUGCCGCUCAGAAUGAGGCCACCCAGUAGUUAGGUGUGAAUUUUCGAGACCUCUGGCACCGUUCUAAGAUGGGUCCUCUCUUCGUAGGCUAAUGCAUUGGCCCUUUUUGACCCGUUUUGGGGCGAAAACAAAAACUGACUCCCGGGCAUAUUUUUUUCGGCCUUUAUGGGCAGAGAACUUUAAUACCGCUCAGAAUGAGGCCACCCAGUAGUUAGGUGUGAAUUUUCGAGACCUCUGGCACCGUUCUAAGAUGGGUCCUCUCUUCGUAGGCUAAUGCAUUGGCCCUUUUUGACCCGUUUUGGGGCGAAAACAAAAACUGACUCCCGGGCAUAUUUUUUUCGGCCUUUAUGGGCAGAGAACUUUAAUGCCGCUCAGAAUGAGGCCACCCAGUAGUUAGGUGUGAAUUUUCGAGACCUCUGGCACCGUUCUAAGAUGGGUCCUCUCUUCGUAGGCUAAUGCAUUGGCCCUUUUUGACCCGUUUUGGGGCGAAAACAAAAACUGACUCCCGGGCAUAUUUUUUUCGGCCUUUAUGGGCAGAGAACUUUAAUACCGCUCAGAAUGAGGCCACCCAGUAGUUAGGUGUGAAUUUUCGAGACCUCUGGCACCGUUCUAAGAUGGGUCCUCUCUUCGUAGGCUAAUGCAUUGGCCCUUUUUGACCCGUUUUGGGGCGAAAACAAAAACUGACUCCCGGGCAUAUUUUUUUCGGCCUUUAUGGGCAGAGAACUUUAAUGCCGCUCAGAAUGAGGCCACCCAGUAGUUAGGUGUGAAUUUUCGAGACCUCUGGCACCGUUCUAAGAUGGGUCCUCUCUUCGUAGGCUAAUGCAUUGGCCCUUUUUGACCCGUUUUGGGGCGAAAACAAAAACUGACUCCCGGGCAUAUUUUUUUCGGCCUUUAUGGGCAGAGAACUUUAAUGCCGCUCAGAAUGAGGCCACCCAGUAGUUAGGUGUGAAUUUUCGAGACCUCUGGCACCGUUCUAAGAUGGGUCCUCUCUUCGUAGGGCUAAUGCAUUGGCCCUUUUUGACCCGUUUUGGGGCGAAAACAAAAACUGACUCCCGGGCAUAUUUUUUUCGGCCUUUAUGGGCAGAGAACUUUAAUACCGCUCAGAAUGAGGCCACCCAGUAGUUAGGUGUGAAUUUUCGAGACCUCUGGCACCGUUCUAAGAUGGGUCCUCUCUUCGUAGGCUAAUGCAUUGGCCCUUUUUGACCCGUUUUGGGGCGAAAACAAAAACUGACUCCCGGGCAUAUUUUUUUCGGCCUUUAUGGGCAGAGAACUUUAAUGCCGCUCAGAAUGAGGCCACCCAGUAGUUAGGUGUGAAUUUUCGAGACCUCUGGCACCGUUCUAAGAUGGGUCCUCUCUUCGUAGGCUAAUGCAUUGGCCCUUUUUGACCCGUUUUGGGGCGAAAACCAAAAACUGACUCCCGGGCAUAUUUUUUUCGGCCUUUAUGGGCAGAGAACUUUAAUACCGCUCAGAAUGAGGCCACCACCCAGUAGUUAGGUGUGAAUUUUCGAGACCUCUGGCACCGUUCUAAGAUGGGUCCUCUCUUCGUAGGCUAAUGCAUUGGCCCUUUUUGACCCGUUUUGGGGCGAAAACAAAAACUGACUCCCGGGCAUAUUUUUUUCGGCCUUUAUGGGCAGAGAAACUUUAAUGCCGCUCAGAAUGAGGCCACCCAGUAGUUAGGUGUGAAUUUUCGAGACCUCUGGCACCGUUCUAAGAUGGGUCCUCUCUUCGUAGGCUAAUGCAUUGGCCCUUUUUGACCCGUUUUGGGGCGAAAACAAAAACUGACUCCCGGGCAUAUUUUUUUCGGCCUUUAUGGGCAGAGAACUUUAAUACCGCUCAGAAUGAGGCCACCCAGUAGUUAGGUGUGAAUUUUCGAGACCUCUGGCACCGUUCUAAGAUGGGUCCUCUCUUCGUAGGCUAAUGCAUUGGCCCUUUUUGACCCGUUUUGGGGCGAAAACAAAAACUGACUCCCGGGCAUAUUUUUUUCGGCCUUUAUGGGCAAAGAACUUUAAUGCCGCUCAGAAUGAGGCCACCCAGUAGUUAGGUGUGAAUUUUCGAGACCUCUGGCACCGUUCUAAGAUGGGUCCUCUCUUCGUAGGCUAAUGCAUUGGCCCUUUUUGACCCGUUUUGGGGCGAAAAACAAAAACUGACUCCCGGGCAUAUUUUUUUCGGCCUUUAUGGGCAAAGAACUUUAAUGCCGCUCAGAAUGAGGCCACCCAGUAGUUAGGUGUGAAUUUUCGAGACCUCUGGCACCGUUCUAAGAUGGGUCCUCUCUUCGUAGGCUAAUGCAUUGGCCCUUUUUGACCCGUUUUGGGGCGAAAACAAAAAACUGACUCCCGGGCAUAUUUUUUUCGGCCUUUAUGGGCAGAGAACUUUAAUGCCGCUCAGAAUGAGGCCACCCAGUAGUUAGGUGUGAAUUUUCGAGACCUCUGGCACCGUUCUAAGAUGGGUCCUCUCUUCGUAGGCUAAUGCAUUGGCCCUUUUUGACCCGUUUUGGGGCGAAAACAAAAACUGACUCCCGGGCAUAUUUUUUUCGGCCUUUAUGGGCAGAGAACUUUAAUACCGCUCAGAAUGAGGCCACCCAGUAGUUAGGUGUGAAUUUUCGAGACCUCUGGCACCGUUCUAAGAUGGGUCCUCUCUUCGUAGGCUAAUGCAUUGGCCCUUUUUGACCCGUUUUGGGGCGAAAACAAAAACUGACUCCCGGGCAUAUUUUUUUCGGCCUUUAUGGGCAGAGAACUUUAAUACCGCUCAGAAUGAGGCCACCCAGUAGUUAGGUGUGAAUUUUCGAGACCCUCUGGCACCGUUCUAAGAUGGGUCCUCUCUUCGUAGGCUAAUGCAUUGGCCCUUUUUGACCCGUUUUGGGGCGAAAACAAAAACUGACUCCCGGGCAUAUUUUUUUCGGCCUUUAUGGGCAGAGAACUUUAAUACCGCUCAGAAUGAGGCCACCCAGUAGUUAGGUGUGAAUUUUCGAGACCUCUUGGCACCGUUCUAAGAUGGGUCCUCUCUUCGUAGGCUAAUGCAUUGGCCCUUUUUGACCCGUUUUGGGGCGAAAACAAAAACUGACUCCCGGGCAUAUUUUUUUCGGCCUUUAUGGGCAGAGAACUUUAAUGCCGCUCAGAAUGAGGCCACCCAGUAGUUAGGUGUGAAUUUUCGAGACCUCUGGCACCGUUCUAAGAUGGGUCCUCUCUUCGUAGGCUAAUGCAUUGGCCCUUUUUGACCCGUUUUGGGGCGAAAACAAAAACUGACUCCCGGGCAUAUUUUUUUCGGCCUUUAUGGGCAGAGAACUUUAAUACCGCUCAAAAAUGAGGCCACCCAGUAGUUAGGUGUGAAUUUUCGAGACCUCUGGCACCGUUCUAAGAUGGGUCCUCUCUUCGUAGGCUAAUGCAUUGGCCCUUUUUGACCCGUUUUGGGGCGAAAACAAAAACUGACUCCCGGGCAUAUUUUUUUCGGCCUUUAUGGGCAGAGAACUUUAAUACCGCUCAGAAUGAGGCCACCCAGUAGUUAGGUGUGAAUUUUCGAGACCUUUGGCACCGUUCUAAGAUGGGUCCUCUCUUCGUAGGCUAAUGCAUUGGCCCUUUUUGACCCGUUUUGGGGCGAAAACAAAAACUGACUCCCGGGCAUAUUUUUUUCGGCCUUUAUGGGCAGAGAACUUUAAUGCCGCUCAGAAUGAGGCCACCCAGUAGUUAGGUGUGAAUUUUCGAGACCUCUGGCACCGUUCUAAGAUGGGUCCUCUCUUCGUAGGCUAAUGCAUUGGCCCUUUUUGACCCGUUUUGGGGCGAAAACAAAAACUGACUCCCGGGCAUAUUUUUUUCGGCCUUUAUGGGCAGAGAACUUUAAUGCCGCUCAGAAUGAGGCCACCCAGUAGUUAGGUGUGAAUUUUCGAGACCUCUGGCACCGUUCUAAGAUGGGUCCUCUCUUCGUAGGCUAAUGCAUUGGCCCUUUUUGACCCGUUUUGGGGCGAAAACAAAAACUGACUCCCGGGCAUAUUUUUUUCGGCCUUUAUGGGCAGAGAACUUUAAUACCGCUCAGAAUGAGGCCACCCAGUAGUUAGGUGUGAAUUUUCGAGACCUCUGGCACCGUUCUAAGAUGGGUCCUCUCUUCGUAGGCUAAUGCAUUGGCCCUUUUUGACCCGUUUUGGGGCGAAAACAAAAACUGACUCCCGGGCAUAUUUUUUUCGGCCUUUAUGGGCAGAGAACUUUAAUACCGCUCAGAAUGAGGCCACCCAGUAGUUAGGUGUGAAUUUUCGAGACCUCUGGCACCGUUCUAAGAUGGGUCCUCUCUUCGUAGGCUAAUGCAUUGGCCCUUUUUGACCCGUUUUGGGGCGAAAACAAAAACUGACUCCCGGGCAUAUUUUUUUCGGCCUUUAUGGGCAGAGAACUUUAAUACCGCUCAGAAUGAGGCCACCCAGUAGUUAGGUGUGAAUUUUCGAGACCUUCUGGCACCGUUCUAAGAUGGGUCCUCUCUUCGUAGGCUAAUGCAUUGGCCCUUUUUGACCCGUUUUGGGGCGAAAACAAAAACUGACUCCCGGGCAUAUUUUUUUCGGCCUUUAUGGGCAGAGAACUUUAAUGCCGCUCAGAAUGAGGCCACCCAGUAGUUAGGUGUGAAUUUUCGAGACCUCUGGCACCGUUCUAAGAUGGGUCCUCUCUUCGUAGGCUAAUGCAUUGGCCCUUUUUGACCCGUUUUGGGGCGAAAACAAAAACUGACUCCCGGGCAUAUUUUUUUCGGCCUUUAUGGGCAGAGAACUUUAAUACCGCUCAGAAUGAGGCCACCCAGUAGUUAGGUGUGAAUUUUCGAGACCUCUGGCACCGUUCUAAGAUGGGUCCUCUCUUCGUAGGCUAAUGCAUUGGCCCUUUUUGACCCGUUUUGGGGCGAAAACAAAAACUGACUCCCGGGCAUAUUUUUUUCGGCCUUUAUGGGCAGAGAACUUUAAUACCGCUCAGAAUGAGGCCACCCAGUAGUUAGGUGUGAAUUUUCGAGACCUCUGGCACCGUUCUAAGAUGGGUCCUCUCUUCGUAGGCUAAUGCAUUGGCCCUUUUUGACCCGUUUUGGGGCGAAAACAAAAACUGACUCCCGGGCAUAUUUUUUUCGGCCUUUAUGGGCAGAGAACUUUAAUGCCGCUCAGAAUGAGGCCACCCAGUAGUUAGGUGUGAAUUUUCGAGACCUCUGGCACCGUUCUAAGAUGGGUCCUCUCUUCGUAGGCUAAUGCAUUGGCCCUUUUUGACCCGUUUUGGGGCGAAAACAAAAACUGACUCCCGGGCAUAUUUUUUUCGGCCUUUAUGGGCAGAGAACUUUAAUACCGCUCAGAAAUGAGGCCACCCAGUAGUUAGGUGUGAAUUUUCGAGACCUCUGGCACCGUUCUAAGAUGGGUCCUCUCUUCGUAGGCUAAUGCAUUGGCCCUUUUUGACCCGUUUUGGGGCGAAAACAAAAACUGACUCCCGGGCAUAUUUUUUUCGGCCUUUAUGGGCAGAGAACUUUAAUACCGCUCAGAAUGAGGCCACCCAGUAGUUAGGUGUGAAUUUUCGAGACCUCUCGGCACCGUUCUAAGAUGGGUCCUCUCUUCGUAGGCUAAUGCAUUGGCCCUUUUUGACCCGUUUUGGGGCGAAAACAAAAACUGACUCCCGGGCAUAUUUUUUUCGGCCUUUAUGGGCAGAGAACUUUAAUGCCGCUCAGAAAUGAGGCCACCCAGUAGUUAGGUGUGAAUUUUCGAGACCUCUGGCACCGUUCUAAGAUGGGUCCUCUCUUCGUAGGCUAAUGCAUUGGCCCUUUUUGACCCGUUUUGGGGCGAAAACAAAAACUGACUCCCGGGCAUAUUUUUUUCGGCCUUUAUGGGCAGAGAACUUUAAUACCGCUCAGAAUGAGGCCACCCAGUAGUUAGGUGUGAAUUUUCGAGACCUCUGGCACCGUUCUAAGAUGGGUCCUCUCUUCGUAGGCUAAUGCAUUGGCCCUUUUUGACCCGUUUUGGGGCGAAAACAAAAACUGACUCCCGGGCAUAUUUUUUUCGGCCUUUAUGGGCAGAGAACUUUAAUACCGCUCAGAAUGAGGCCACCCAGUAGUUAGGUGUGAAUUUUCGAGACCUCUUGGCACCGUUCUAAGAUGGGUCCUCUCUUCGUAGGCUAAUGCAUUGGCCCUUUUUGACCCGUUUUGGGGCGAAAACAAAAACUGACUCCCGGGCAUAUUUUUUUCGGCCUUUAUGGGCAGAGAACUUUAAUGCCGCUCAGAAUGAGGCCACCCAGUAGUUAGGUGUGAAUUUUCGAGACCUCUGGCACCGUUCUAAGAUGGGUCCUCUCUUCGUAGGCUAAUGCAUUGGCCCUUUUUGACCCGUUUUGGGGCGAAAACAAAAACUGACUCCCGGGCAUAUUUUUUUCGGCCUUUAUGGGCAGAGAACUUUAAUGCCGCUCAGAAUGAGGCCACCCAGUAGUUAGGUGUGAAUUUUCGAGACCUUUGGCACCGUUCUAAGAUGGGUCCUCUCUUCGUAGGCUAAUGCAUUGGCCCUUUUUGACCCGUUUUGGGGCGAAAACAAAAACUGACUCCCGGGCAUAUUUUUUUCGGCCUUUAUGGGCAGAGAACUUUAAUACCGCUCAGAAUGAGGCCACCCAGUAGUUAGGUGUGAAUUUUCGAGACCUCUGGCACCGUUCUAAGAUGGGUCCUCUCUUCGUAGGCUAAUGCAUUGGCCCUUUUUGACCCGUUUUGGGGCGAAAACAAAAACUGACUCCCGGGCAUAUUUUUUUCGGCCUUUAUGGGCAGAGAACUUUAAUGCCGCUCAGAAUGAGGCCACCCAGUAGUUAGGUGUGAAUUUUCGAGACCUCUGGCACCGUUCUAAGAUGGGUCCUCUCUUCGUAGGCUAAUGCAUUGGCCCUUUUUGACCCGUUUUGGGGCGAAAACAAAAACUGACUCCCGGGCAUAUUUUUUUCGGCCUUUAUGGGCAGAGAACUUUAAUACCGCUCAGAAUGAGGCCACCCAGUAGUUAGGUGUGAAUUUUCGAGACCUCUGGCACCGUUCUAAGAUGGGUCCUCUCUUCGUAGGCUAAUGCAUUGGCCCUUUUUGACCCGUUUUGGGGCGAAAACAAAAACUGACUCCCGGGCAUAUUUUUUUCGGCCUUUAUGGGCAGAGAACUCUUAAUAGCCGCUCAGAAAUGGCCAGGCCACCCAGUAGUUAGGUGUGAAUUUUCGAGACCUCUGGCACCGUUCUAAGAUGGGUCCUCUCUUCGUAGGCUAAUGCAUUGGCCCUUUUUGACCCGUUUUGGGGCGAAAACAAAAACUGACUCCCGGGCAUAUUUUUUUCGGCCUUUAUGGGCAGAGAACUUUAAUGCCGCUCAGAAUGAGGCCACCCAGUAGUUAGGUGUGAAUUUUCGAGACCUCUGGCACCGUUCUAAGAUGGGUCCUCUCUUCGUAGGCUAAUGCAUUGGCCCUUUUUGACCCGUUUUGGGGCGAAAACAAAAACUGACUCCCGGGCAUAUUUUUUUCGGCCUUUAUGGGCAGAGAACUUUAAUGCCGCUCAGAAUGAGGCCACCCAGUAGUUAGGUGUGAAUUUUCGAGACCUUUGGCACCGUUCUAAGAUGGGUCCUCUCUUCGUAGGCUAAUGCAUUGGCCCUUUUUGACCCGUUUUGGGGCGAAAACAAAAACUGACUCCCGGGCAUAUUUUUUUCGGCCUUUAUGGGCAGAGAACUUUAAUGCCGCUCAGAAUGAGGCCACCCAGUAGUUAGGUGUGAAUUUUCGAGACCUCUGGCACCGUUCUAAGAUGGGUCCUCUCUUCGUAGGCUAAUGCAUUGGCCCUUUUUGACCCGUUUUGGGGCGAAAACAAAAACUGACUCCCGGGCAUAUUUUUUUCGGCCUUUAUGGGCAGAGAACUUUAAUACCGCUCAGAAUGAGGCCACCCAGUAGUUAGGUGUGAAUUUUCGAGACCUUUGGCACCGUUCUAAGAUGGGUCCUCUCUUCGUAGGCUAAUGCAUUGGCCCUUUUUGACCCGUUUUGGGGCGAAAACAAAAACUGACUCCCGGGCAUAUUUUUUUCGGCCUUUAUGGGCAGAGAACUUUAAUACCGCUCAGAAUGAGGCCACCCAGUAGUUAGGUGUGAAUUUUCGAGACCUCUGGCACCGUUCUAAGAUGGGUCCUCUCUUCGUAGGCUAAUGCAUUGGCCCUUUUUGACCCGUUUUGGGGCGAAAACAAAAACUGACUCCCGGGCAUAUUUUUUUCGGCCUUUAUGGGCAGAGAACUUUAAUGCCGCUCAGAAUGAGGCCACCCAGUAGUUAGGUGUGAAUUUUCGAGACCUUUGGCCACCGUUCUAAGAUGGGUCCUCUCUUCGUAGGCUAAUGCAUUGGCCCUUUUUGACCCGUUUUGGGGCGAAAACAAAAACUGACUCCCGGGCAUAUUUUUUUCGGCCUUUAUGGGCAGAGAACUUUAAUACCGCUCAGAAUGAGGCCACCCAGUAGUUAGGUGUGAAUUUUCGAGACCUUUGGCACCGUUCUAAGAUGGGUCCUCUCUUCGUAGGCUAAUGCAUUGGCCCUUUUUGACCCGUUUUGGGGCGAAAACAAAAACUGACUCCCGGGCAUAUUUUUUUCGGCCUUUAUGGGCAGAGAACUUUAAUACCGCUCAGAAUGAGGCCACCCAGUAGUUAGGUGUGAAUUUUCGAGACCUUCUGGCACCGUUCUAAGAUGGGUCCUCUCUUCGUAGGCUAAUGCAUUGGCCCUUUUUGACCCGUUUUGGGGCGAAAACAAAAACUGACUCCCGGGCAUAUUUUUUUCGGCCUUUAUGGGCAGAGAACUUUAAUGCCGCUCAGAAUGAGGCCACCCAGUAGUUAGGUGUGAAUUUUCGAGACCUCUGGCACCGUUCUAAGAUGGGUCCUCUCUUCGUAGGCUAAUGCAUUGGCCCUUUUUGACCCGUUUUGGGGCGAAAACAAAAACUGACUCCCGGGCAUAUUUUUUUCGGCCUUUAUGGGCAGAGAACUUUAAUACCGCUCAGAAUGAGGCCACCCAGUAGUUAGGUGUGAAUUUUCGAGACCUUUGGCACCGUUCUAAGAUGGGUCCUCUCUUCGUAGGCUAAUGCAUUGGCCCUUUUUGACCCGUUUUGGGGCGAAAACAAAAACUGACUCCCGGGCAUAUUUUUUUCGGCCUUUAUGGGCAGAGAACUUUAAUGCCGCUCAGAAUGAGGCCACCCAGUAGUUAGGUGUGAAUUUUCGAGACCUUUGGCACCGUUCUAAGAUGGGUCCUCUCUUCGUAGGCUAAUGCAUUGGCCCUUUUUGACCCGUUUUGGGGCGAAAACAAAAACUGACUCCCGGGCAUAUUUUUUUCGGCCUUUAUGGGCAGAGAACUUUAAUACCGCUCAAAAUGAGGCCACCCAGUAGUUAGGUGUGAAUUUUCGAGACCUCUGGCACCGUUCUAAGAUGGGUCCUCUCUUCGUAGGCUAAUGCAUUGGCCCUUUUUGACCCGUUUUGGGGCGAAAACAAAAACUGACUCCCGGGCAUAUUUUUUUCGGCCUUUAUGGGCAGAGAACUUUAAUACCGCUCAAAAUGAGGCCACCCAGUAGUUAGGUGUGAAUUUUCGAGACCUUUGGCACCGUUCUAAGAUGGGUCCUCUCUUCGUAGGCUAAUGCAUUGGCCCUUUUUGACCCGUUUUGGGGCGAAAACAAAAACUGACUCCCGGGCAUAUUUUUUUCGGCCUUUAUGGGCAGAGAACUUUAAUGCCGCUCAGAAUGAGGCCACCCAGUAGUUAGGUGUGAAUUUUCGAGACCUUUGGCACCGUUCUAAGAUGGGUCCUCUCUUCGUAGGCUAAUGCAUUGGCCCUUUUUGACCCGUUUUGGGGCGAAAACAAAAACUGACUCCCGGGCAUAUUUUUUUCGGCCUUUAUGGGCAGAGAACUUUAAUACCGCUCAAAAUGAGGCCACCCAGUAGUUAGGUGUGAAUUUUCGAGACCUUUGGCACCGUUCUAAGAUGGGUCCUCUCUUCGUAGGCUAAUGCAUUGGCCCUUUUUGACCCGUUUUGGGGCGAAAACAAAAACUGACUCCCGGGCAUAUUUUUUUCGGCCUUUAUGGGCAGAGAACUUUAAUACCGCUCAAAAUGAGGCCACCCAGUAGUUAGGUGUGAAUUUUCGAGACCUUUGGCACCGUUCUAAGAUGGGUCCUCUCUUCGUAGGCUAAUGCAUUGGCCCUUUUUGACCCGUUUUGGGGCGAAAACAAAAACUGACUCCCGGGCAUAUUUUUUUCGGCCUUUAUGGGCAGAGAACUUUAAUACCGCUCAAAAUGAGGCCACCCAGUAGUUAGGUGUGAAUUUUCGAGACCUCUGGCACCGUUCUAAGAUGGGUCCUCUCUUCGUAGGCUAAUGCAUUGGCCCUUUUUGACCCGUUUUGGGGCGAAAACAAAAACUGACUCCCGGGCAUAUUUUUUUCGGCCUUUAUGGGCAGAGAACUUUAAUGCCGCUCAAAAUGAGGCCACCCAGUAGUUAGGUGUGAAUUUUCGAGACCUCUGGCACCGUUCUAAGAUGGGUCCUCUCUUCGUAGGCUAAUGCAUUGGCCCUUUUUGACCCGUUUUGGGGCGAAAACAAAAACUGACUCCCGGGCAUAUUUUUUUCGGCCUUUAUGGGCAGAGAACUUUAAUACCGCUCAGAAUGAGGCCACCCAGUAGUUAGGUGUGAAUUUUCGAGACCUUUGGCACCGUUCUAAGAUGGGUCCUCUCUUCGUAGGCUAAUGCAUUGGCCCUUUUUGACCCGUUUUGGGGCGAAAACAAAAACUGACUCCCGGGCAUAUUUUUUUCGGCCUUUAUGGGCAGAGAACUUUAAUACCGCUCAAAAUGAGGCCACCCAGUAGUUAGGUGUGAAUUUUCGAGACCUUUGGCACCGUUCUAAGAUGGGUCCUCUCUUCGUAGGCUAAUGCAUUGGCCCUUUUUGACCCGUUUUGGGGCGAAAACAAAAACUGACUCCCGGGCAUAUUUUUUUCGGCCUUUAUGGGCAGAGAACUUUAAUACCGCUCAAAAUGAGGCCACCCAGUAGUUAGGUGUGAAUUUUCGAGACCUUUGGCACCGUUCUAAGAUGGGUCCUCUCUUCGUAGGCUAAUGCAUUGGCCCUUUUUGACCCGUUUUGGGGCGAAAACAAAAACUGACUCCCGGGCAUAUUUUUUUCGGCCUUUAUGGGCAGAGAACUUUAAUACCGCUCAAAAUGAGGCCACCCAGUAGUUAGGUGUGAAUUUUCGAGACCUUUGGCACCGUUCUAAGAUGGGUCCUCUCUUCGUAGGCUAAUGCAUUGGCCCUUUUUGACCCGUUUUGGGGCGAAAACAAAAACUGACUCCCGGGCAUAUUUUUUUCGGCCUUUAUGGGCAGAGAACUUUAAUACCGCUCAAAAUGAGGCCACCCAGUAGUUAGGUGUGAAUUUUCGAGACCUUUGGCACCGUUCUAAGAUGGGUCCUCUCUUCGUAGGCUAAUGCAUUGGCCCUUUUUGACCCGUUUUGGGGCGAAAACAAAAACUGACUCCCGGGCAUAUUUUUUUCGGCCUUUAUGGGCAGAGAACUUUAAUACCGCUCAAAAUGAGGCCACCCAGUAGUUAGGUGUGAAUUUUCGAGACCUUUGGCACCGUUCUAAGAUGGGUCCUCUCUUCGUAGGCUAAUGCAUUGGCCCUUUUUGACCCGUUUUGGGGCGAAAACAAAAACUGACUCCCGGGCAUAUUUUUUUCGGCCUUUAUGGGCAGAGAACUUUAAUACCGCUCAAAAUGAGGCCACCCAGUAGUUAGGUGUGAAUUUUCGAGACCUUUGGCACCGUUCUAAGAUGGGUCCUCUCUUCGUAGGCUAAUGCAUUGGCCCUUUUUGACCCGUUUUGGGGCGAAAACAAAAACUGACUCCCGGGCAUAUUUUUUUCGGCCUUUAUGGGCAGAGAACUUUAAUACCGCUCAAAAUGAGGCCACCCAGUAGUUAGGUGUGAAUUUUCGAGACCUUUGGCACCGUUCUAAGAUGGGUCCUCUCUUCGUAGGCUAAUGCAUUGGCCCUUUUUGACCCGUUUUGGGGCGAAAACAAAAACUGACUCCCGGGCAUAUUUUUUUCGGCCUUUAUGGGCAGAGAACUUUAAUACCGCUCAAAAUGAGGCCACCCAGUAGUUAGGUGUGAAUUUUCGAGACCUUUGGCACCGUUCUAAGAUGGGUCCUCUCUUCGUAGGCUAAUGCAUUGGCCCUUUUUGACCCGUUUUGGGGCGAAAACAAAAACUGACUCCCGGGCAUAUUUUUUUCGGCCUUUAUGGGCAGAGAACUUUAAUACCGCUCAAAAUGAGGCCACCCAGUAGUUAGGUGUGAAUUUUCGAGACCUUUGGCACCGUUCUAAGAUGGGUCCUCUCUUCGUAGGCUAAUGCAUUGGCCCUUUUUGACCCGUUUUGGGGCGAAAACAAAAACUGACUCCCGGGCAUAUUUUUUUCGGCCUUUAUGGGCAGAGAACUUUAAUACCGCUCAAAAUGAGGCCACCCAGUAGUUAGGUGUGAAUUUUCGAGACCUUUGGCACCGUUCUAAGAUGGGUCCUCUCUUCGUAGGCUAAUGCAUUGGCCCUUUUUGACCCGUUUUGGGGCGAAAACAAAAACUGACUCCCGGGCAUAUUUUUUUCGGCCUUUAUGGGCAGAGAACUUUAAUACCGCUCAAAAUGAGGCCACCCAGUAGUUAGGUGUGAAUUUUCGAGACCUUUGGCACCGUUCUAAGAUGGGUCCUCUCUUCGUAGGCUAAUGCAUUGGCCCUUUUUGACCCGUUUUGGGGCGAAAACAAAAACUGACUCCCGGGCAUAUUUUUUUCGGCCUUUAUGGGCAGAGAACUUUAAUACCGCUCAAAAUGAGGCCACCCAGUAGUUAGGUGUGAAUUUUCGAGACCUUUGGCACCGUUCUAAGAUGGGUCCUCUCUUCGUAGGCUAAUGCAUUGGCCCUUUUUGACCCGUUUUGGGGCGAAAACAAAAACUGACUCCCGGGCAUAUUUUUUUCGGCCUUUAUGGGCAGAGAACUUUAAUACCGCUCAAAAUGAGGCCACCCAGUAGUUAGGUGUGAAUUUUCGAGACCUUUGGCACCGUUCUAAGAUGGGUCCUCUCUUCGUAGGCUAAUGCAUUGGCCCUUUUUGACCCGUUUUGGGGCGAAAACAAAAACUGACUCCCGGGCAUAUUUUUUUCGGCCUUUAUGGGCAGAGAACUUUAAUACCGCUCAAAAUGAGGCCACCCAGUAGUUAGGUGUGAAUUUUCGAGACCUUUGGCACCGUUCUAAGAUGGGUCCUCUCUUCGUAGGCUAAUGCAUUGGCCCUUUUUGACCCGUUUUGGGGCGAAAACAAAAACUGACUCCCGGGCAUAUUUUUUUCGGCCUUUAUGGGCAGAGAACUUUAAUACCGCUCAAAAUGAGGCCACCCAGUAGUUAGGUGUGAAUUUUCGAGACCUUUGGCACCGUUCUAAGAUGGGUCCUCUCUUCGUAGGCUAAUGCAUUGGCCCUUUUUGACCCGUUUUGGGGCGAAAACAAAAACUGACUCCCGGGCAUAUUUUUUUCGGCCUUUAUGGGCAGAGAACUUUAAUACCGCUCAAAAUGAGGCCACCCAGUAGUUAGGUGUGAAUUUUCGAGACCUUUGGCACCGUUCUAAGAUGGGUCCUCUCUUCGUAGGCUAAUGCAUUGGCCCUUUUUGACCCGUUUUGGGGCGAAAACAAAAACUGACUCCCGGGCAUAUUUUUUUCGGCCUUUAUGGGCAGAGAACUUUAAUACCGCUCAAAAUGAGGCCACCCAGUAGUUAGGUGUGAAUUUUCGAGACCUUUGGCACCGUUCUAAGAUGGGUCCUCUCUUCGUAGGCUAAUGCAUUGGCCCUUUUUGACCCGUUUUGGGGCGAAAACAAAAACUGACUCCCGGGCAUAUUUUUUUCGGCCUUUAUGGGCAGAGAACUUUAAUACCGCUCAAAAUGAGGCCACCCAGUAGUUAGGUGUGAAUUUUCGAGACCUUUGGCACCGUUCUAAGAUGGGUCCUCUCUUCGUAGGCUAAUGCAUUGGCCCUUUUUGACCCGUUUUGGGGCGAAAACAAAAACUGACUCCCGGGCAUAUUUUUUUCGGCCUUUAUGGGCAGAGAACUUUAAUACCGCUCAAAAUGAGGCCACCCAGUAGUUAGGUGUGAAUUUUCGAGACCUUUGGCACCGUUCUAAGAUGGGUCCUCUCUUCGUAGGCUAAUGCAUUGGCCCUUUUUGACCCGUUUUGGGGCGAAAACAAAAACUGACUCCCGGGCAUAUUUUUUUCGGCCUUUAUGGGCAGAGAACUUUAAUACCGCUCAAAAUGAGGCCACCCAGUAGUUAGGUGUGAAUUUUCGAGACCUUUGGCACCGUUCUAAGAUGGGUCCUCUCUUCGUAGGCUAAUGCAUUGGCCCUUUUUGACCCGUUUUGGGGCGAAAACAAAAACUGACUCCCGGGCAUAUUUUUUUCGGCCUUUAUGGGCAGAGAACUUUAAUACCGCUCAAAAUGAGGCCACCCAGUAGUUAGGUGUGAAUUUUCGAGACCUUUGGCACCGUUCUAAGAUGGGUCCUCUCUUCGUAGGCUAAUGCAUUGGCCCUUUUUGACCCGUUUUGGGGCGAAAACAAAAACUGACUCCCGGGCAUAUUUUUUUCGGCCUUUAUGGGCAGAGAACUUUAAUACCGCUCAAAAUGAGGCCACCCAGUAGUUAGGUGUGAAUUUUCGAGACCUUUGGCACCGUUCUAAGAUGGGUCCUCUCUUCGUAGGCUAAUGCAUUGGCCCUUUUUGACCCGUUUUGGGGCGAAAACAAAAACUGACUCCCGGGCAUAUUUUUUUCGGCCUUUAUGGGCAGAGAACUUUAAUACCGCUCAAAAUGAGGCCACCCAGUAGUUAGGUGUGAAUUUUCGAGACCUUUGGCACCGUUCUAAGAUGGGUCCUCUCUUCGUAGGCUAAUGCAUUGGCCCUUUUUGACCCGUUUUGGGGCGAAAACAAAAACUGACUCCCGGGCAUAUUUUUUUCGGCCUUUAUGGGCAGAGAACUUUAAUACCGCUCAAAAUGAGGCCACCCAGUAGUUAGGUGUGAAUUUUCGAGACCUUUGGCACCGUUCUAAGAUGGGUCCUCUCUUCGUAGGCUAAUGCAUUGGCCCUUUUUGACCCGUUUUGGGGCGAAAACAAAAACUGACUCCCGGGCAUAUUUUUUUCGGCCUUUAUGGGCAGAGAACUUUAAUACCGCUCAAAAUGAGGCCACCCAGUAGUUAGGUGUGAAUUUUCGAGACCUUUGGCACCGUUCUAAGAUGGGUCCUCUCUUCGUAGGCUAAUGCAUUGGCCCUUUUUGACCCGUUUUGGGGCGAAAACAAAAACUGACUCCCGGGCAUAUUUUUUUCGGCCUUUAUGGGCAGAGAACUUUAAUACCGCUCAAAAUGAGGCCACCCAGUAGUUAGGUGUGAAUUUUCGAGACCUUUGGCACCGUUCUAAGAUGGGUCCUCUCUUCGUAGGCUAAUGCAUUGGCCCUUUUUGACCCGUUUUGGGGCGAAAACAAAAACUGACUCCCGGGCAUAUUUUUUUCGGCCUUUAUGGGCAGAGAACUUUAAUACCGCUCAAAAUGAGGCCACCCAGUAGUUAGGUGUGAAUUUUCGAGACCUUUGGCACCGUUCUAAGAUGGGUCCUCUCUUCGUAGGCUAAUGCAUUGGCCCUUUUUGACCCGUUUUGGGGCGAAAACAAAAACUGACUCCCGGGCAUAUUUUUUUCGGCCUUUAUGGGCAGAGAACUUUAAUACCGCUCAAAAUGAGGCCACCCAGUAGUUAGGUGUGAAUUUUCGAGACCUUUGGCACCGUUCUAAGAUGGGUCCUCUCUUCGUAGGCUAAUGCAUUGGCCCUUUUUGACCCGUUUUGGGGCGAAAACAAAAACUGACUCCCGGGCAUAUUUUUUUCGGCCUUUAUGGGCAGAGAACUUUAAUACCGCUCAAAAUGAGGCCACCCAGUAGUUAGGUGUGAAUUUUCGAGACCUUUGGCACCGUUCUAAGAUGGGUCCUCUCUUCGUAGGCUAAUGCAUUGGCCCUUUUUGACCCGUUUUGGGGCGAAAACAAAAACUGACUCCCGGGCAUAUUUUUUUCGGCCUUUAUGGGCAGAGAACUUUAAUACCGCUCAAAAUGAGGCCACCCAGUAGUUAGGUGUGAAUUUUCGAGACCUUUGGCACCGUUCUAAGAUGGGUCCUCUCUUCGUAGGCUAAUGCAUUGGCCCUUUUUGACCCGUUUUGGGGCGAAAACAAAAACUGACUCCCGGGCAUAUUUUUUUCGGCCUUUAUGGGCAGAGAACUUUAAUACCGCUCAAAAUGAGGCCACCCAGUAGUUAGGUGUGAAUUUUCGAGACCUUUGGCACCGUUCUAAGAUGGGUCCUCUCUUCGUAGGCUAAUGCAUUGGCCCUUUUUGACCCGUUUUGGGGCGAAAACAAAAACUGACUCCCGGGCAUAUUUUUUUCGGCCUUUAUGGGCAGAGAACUUUAAUACCGCUCAAAAUGAGGCCACCCAGUAGUUAGGUGUGAAUUUUCGAGACCUUUGGCACCGUUCUAAGAUGGGUCCUCUCUUCGUAGGCUAAUGCAUUGGCCCUUUUUGACCCGUUUUGGGGCGAAAACAAAAACUGACUCCCGGGCAUAUUUUUUUCGGCCUUUAUGGGCAGAGAACUUUAAUACCGCUCAAAAUGAGGCCACCCAGUAGUUAGGUGUGAAUUUUCGAGACCUUUGGCACCGUUCUAAGAUGGGUCCUCUCUUCGUAGGCUAAUGCAUUGGCCCUUUUUGACCCGUUUUGGGGCGAAAACAAAAACUGACUCCCGGGCAUAUUUUUUUCGGCCUUUAUGGGCAGAGAACUUUAAUACCGCUCAAAAUGAGGCCACCCAGUAGUUAGGUGUGAAUUUUCGAGACCUCUUGGCACCGUUCUAAGAUGGGUCCUCUCUUCGUAGGCUAAUGCAUUGGCCCUUUUUGACCCGUUUUGGGGCGAAAACAAAAACUGACUCCCGGGCAUAUUUUUUUCGGCCUUUAUGGGCAGAGAACUUUAAUACCGCUCAAAAUGAGGCCACCCAGUAGUUAGGUGUGAAUUUUCGAGACCUCUGGCACCGUUCUAAGAUGGGUCCUCUCUUCGUAGGCUAAUGCAUUGGCCCUUUUUGACCCGUUUUGGGGCGAAAACAAAAACUGACUCCCGGGCAUAUUUUUUUCGGCCUUUAUGGGCAGAGAACUUUAAUGCCGCUCAAAAUGAGGCCACCCAGUAGUUAGGUGUGAAUUUUCGAGACCUCUGGCACCGUUCUAAGAUGGGUCCUCUCUUCGUAGGCUAAUGCAUUGGCCCUUUUUGACCCGUUUUGGGGCGAAAACAAAAACUGACUCCCGGGCAUAUUUUUUUCGGCCUUUAUGGGCAGAGAACUUUAAUACCGCUCAGAAUGAGGCCACCCAGUAGUUAGGUGUGAAUUUUCGAGACCUUCUGGCACCGUUCUAAGAUGGGUCCUCUCUUCGUAGGCUAAUGCAUUGGCCCUUUUUGACCCGUUUUGGGGCGAAAACAAAAACUGACUCCCGGGCAUAUUUUUUUCGGCCUUUAUGGGCAGAGAACUUUAAUACCGCUCAGAAUGAGGCCACCCAGUAGUUAGGUGUGAAUUUUCGAGACCUCUGGCACCGUUCUAAGAUGGGUCCUCUCUUCGUAGGCUAAUGCAUUGGCCCUUUUUGACCCGUUUUGGGGCGAAAACAAAAACUGACUCCCGGGCAUAUUUUUUUCGGCCUUUAUGGGCAGAGAACUUUAAUACCGCUCAGAAUGAGGCCACCCAGUAGUUAGGUGUGAAUUUUCGAGACCUUUGGCACCGUUCUAAGAUGGGUCCUCUCUUCGUAGGCUAAUGCAUUGGCCCUUUUUGACCCGUUUUGGGGCGAAAACAAAAACUGACUCCCGGGCAUAUUUUUUUCGGCCUUUAUGGGCAGAGAACUUUAAUGCCGCUCAGAAUGAGGCCACCCAGUAGUUAGGUGUGAAUUUUCGAGACCUUUGGCACCGUUCUAAGAUGGGUCCUCUCUUCGUAGGCUAAUGCAUUGGCCCUUUUUGACCCGUUUUGGGGCGAAAACAAAAACUGACUCCCGGGCAUAUUUUUUUCGGCCUUUAUGGGCAGAGAACUUUAAUGCCGCUCAGAAUGAGGCCACCCAGUAGUUAGGUGUGAAUUUUCGAGACCUCUGGCACCGUUCUAAGAUGGGUCCUCUCUUCGUAGGCUAAUGCAUUGGCCCUUUUUGACCCGUUUUGGGGCGAAAACAAAAACUGACUCCCGGGCAUAUUUUUUUCGGCCUUUAUGGGCAGAGAACUUUAAUACCGCUCAAAAUGAGGCCACCCAGUAGUUAGGUGUGAAUUUUCGAGACCUUUGGCACCGUUCUAAGAUGGGUCCUCUCUUCGUAGGCUAAUGCAUUGGCCCUUUUUGACCCGUUUUGGGGCGAAAACAAAAACUGACUCCCGGGCAUAUUUUUUUCGGCCUUUAUGGGCAGAGAACUUUAAUACCGCUCAAAAUGAGGCCACCCAGUAGUUAGGUGUGAAUUUUCGAGACCUCUGGCACCGUUCUAAGAUGGGUCCUCUCUUCGUAGGCUAAUGCAUUGGCCCUUUUUGACCCGUUUUGGGGCGAAAACAAAAACUGACUCCCGGGCAUAUUUUUUUCGGCCUUUAUGGGCAGAGAACUUUAAUACCGCUCAAAAUGAGGCCACCCAGUAGUUAGGUGUGAAUUUUCGAGACCUUUGGCACCGUUCUAAGAUGGGUCCUCUCUUCGUAGGCUAAUGCAUUGGCCCUUUUUGACCCGUUUUGGGGCGAAAACAAAAACUGACUCCCGGGCAUAUUUUUUUCGGCCUUUAUGGGCAGAGAACUUUAAUACCGCUCAGAAUGAGGCCACCCAGUAGUUAGGUGUGAAUUUUCGAGACCUUUGGCACCGUUCUAAGAUGGGUCCUCUCUUCGUAGGCUAAUGCAUUGGCCCUUUUUGACCCGUUUUGGGGCGAAAACAAAAACUGACUCCCGGGCAUAUUUUUUUCGGCCUUUAUGGGCAGAGAACUUUAAUACGCCGCUCAGAAUGAGGCCACCCAGUAGUUAGGUGUGAAUUUUCGAGACCUUUGGCACCGUUCUAAGAUGGGUCCUCUCUUCGUAGGCUAAUGCAUUGGCCCUUUUUGACCCGUUUUGGGGCGAAAACAAAAACUGACUCCCGGGCAUAUUUUUUUCGGCCUUUAUGGGCAGAGAACUUUAAUACCGCUCAGAAUGAGGCCACCCAGUAGUUAGGUGUGAAUUUUCGAGACCUUUGGCACCGUUCUAAGAUGGGUCCUCUCUUCGUAGGCUAAUGCAUUGGCCCUUUUUGACCCGUUUUGGGGCGAAAACAAAAACUGACUCCCGGGCAUAUUUUUUUCGGCCUUUAUGGGCAGAGAACUUUAAUACCGCUCAGAAUGAGGCCACCCAGUAGUUAGGUGUGAAUUUUCGAGACCUUUGGCACCGUUCUAAGAUGGGUCCUCUCUUCGUAGGCUAAUGCAUUGGCCCUUUUUGACCCGUUUUGGGGCGAAAACAAAAACUGACUCCCGGGCAUAUUUUUUUCGGCCUUUAUGGGCAGAGAACUUUAAUACCGCUCAAAAUGAGGCCACCCAGUAGUUAGGUGUGAAUUUUCGAGACCUUCUGGCACCGUUCUAAGAUGGGUCCUCUCUUCGUAGGCUAAUGCAUUGGCCCUUUUUGACCCGUUUUGGGGCGAAAACAAAAACUGACUCCCGGGCAUAUUUUUUUCGGCCUUUAUGGGCAGAGAACUUUAAUACCGCUCAAAAUGAGGCCACCCAGUAGUUAGGUGUGAAUUUUCGAGACCUCUGGCACCGUUCUAAGAUGGGUCCUCUCUUCGUAGGCUAAUGCAUUGGCCCUUUUUGACCCGUUUUGGGGCGAAAACAAAAACUGACUCCCGGGCAUAUUUUUUUCGGCCUUUAUGGGCAGAGAACUUUAAUACCCGCUCAGAAUGAGGCCACCCAGUAGUUAGGUGUGAAUUUUCGAGACCUUCUGGCACCGUUCUAAGAUGGGUCCUCUCUUCGUAGGCUAAUGCAUUGGCCCUUUUUGACCCGUUUUGGGGCGAAAACAAAAACUGACUCCCGGGCAUAUUUUUUUCGGCCUUUAUGGGCAGAGAACUUUAAUACCGCUCAAAAUGAGGCCACCCAGUAGUUAGGUGUGAAUUUUCGAGACCUCUGGCACCGUUCUAAGAUGGGUCCUCUCUUCGUAGGCUAAUGCAUUGGCCCUUUUUGACCCGUUUUGGGGCGAAAACAAAAACUGACUCCCGGGCAUAUUUUUUUCGGCCUUUAUGGGCAGAGAACUUUAAUACCGCUCAAAAUGAGGCCACCCAGUAGUUAGGUGUGAAUUUUCGAGACCUUUGGCACCGUUCUAAGAUGGGUCCUCUCUUCGUAGGCUAAUGCAUUGGCCCUUUUUGACCCGUUUUGGGGCGAAAACAAAAACUGACUCCCGGGCAUAUUUUUUUCGGCCUUUAUGGGCAGAGAACUUUAAUGCCGCUCAGAAUGAGGCCACCCAGUAGUUAGGUGUGAAUUUUCGAGACCUUUGGCACCGUUCUAAGAUGGGUCCUCUCUUCGUAGGCUAAUGCAUUGGCCCUUUUUGACCCGUUUUGGGGCGAAAACAAAAACUGACUCCCGGGCAUAUUUUUUUCGGCCUUUAUGGGCAGAGAACUUUAAUGCCGCUCAAAAUGAGGCCACCCAGUAGUUAGGUGUGAAUUUUCGAGACCUUUGGCACCGUUCUAAGAUGGGUCCUCUCUUCGUAGGCUAAUGCAUUGGCCCUUUUUGACCCGUUUUGGGGCGAAAACAAAAACUGACUCCCGGGCAUAUUUUUUUCGGCCUUUAUGGGCAGAGAACUUUAAUACCGCUCAAAAUGAGGCCACCCAGUAGUUAGGUGUGAAUUUUCGAGACCUUUGGCACCGUUCUAAGAUGGGUCCUCUCUUCGUAGGCUAAUGCAUUGGCCCUUUUUGACCCGUUUUGGGGCGAAAACAAAAACUGACUCCCGGGCAUAUUUUUUUCGGCCUUUAUGGGCAGAGAACUUUAAUGCCGCUCAAAAUGAGGCCACCCAGUAGUUAGGUGUGAAUUUUCGAGACCUUUGGCACCGUUCUAAGAUGGGUCCUCUCUUCGUAGGCUAAUGCAUUGGCCCUUUUUGACCCGUUUUGGGGCGAAAACAAAAACUGACUCCCGGGCAUAUUUUUUUCGGCCUUUAUGGGCAGAGAACUUUAAUACCCGCUCAGAAUGAGGCCACCCAGUAGUUAGGUGUGAAUUUUCGAGACCUUUGGCACCGUUCUAAGAUGGGUCCUCUCUUCGUAGGCUAAUGCAUUGGCCCUUUUUGACCCGUUUUGGGGCGAAAACAAAAACUGACUCCCGGGCAUAUUUUUUUCGGCCUUUAUGGGCAGAGAACUUUAAUACCGCUCAGAAAUGAGGCCACCCAGUAGUUAGGUGUGAAUUUUCGAGACCUUUGGCACCGUUCUAAGAUGGGUCCUCUCUUCGUAGGCUAAUGCAUUGGCCCUUUUUGACCCGUUUUGGGGCGAAAACAAAAACUGACUCCCGGGCAUAUUUUUUUCGGCCUUUAUGGGCAGAGAACUUUAAUACCGCUCAGAAAUGAGGCCACCCAGUAGUUAGGUGGGAAUUUUCGAGACCUUUGGCACCGUUCUAAGAUGGGUCCUCUCUUCGUAGGCUAAUGCAUUGGCCCUUUUUGACCCGUUUUGGGGCGAAAACAAAAACUGACUCCCGGGCAUAUUUUUUUCGGCCUUUAUGGGCAGAGAACUUUAACACCGCUCAAAAUGAGGCCACCCAGUAGUUAGGUGUGAAUUUUCGAGACCUUUGGCACCGUUCUAAGAUGGGUCCUCUCUUCGUAGGCUAAUGCAUUGGCCCUUUUUGACCCGUUUUGGGGCGAAAACAAAAACUGACUCCCGGGCAUAUUUUUUUCGGCCUUUAUGGGCAGAGAACUUUAAUACCGCUCAAAAUGAGGCCACCCAGUAGUUAGGUGUGAAUUUUCGAGACCUUUGGCACCGUUCUAAGAUGGGUCCUCUCUUCGUAGGCUAAUGCAUUGGCCCUUUUUGACCCGUUUUGGGGCGAAAACAAAAACUGACUCCCGGGCAUAUUUUUUUCGGCCUUUAUGGGCAGAGAACUUUAACACCGCUCAAAAUGAGGCCACCCAGUAGUUAGGUGGGAAUUUUCGAGACCUUUGGCACCGUUCUAAGAUGGGUCCUCUCUUCGUAGGCUAAUGCAUUGGCCCUUUUUGACCCGUUUUGGGGCGAAAACAAAAACUGACUCCCGGGCAUAUUUUUUUUCGGCCUUUAUGGGCAGAGAACUUUAACACCGCUCAAAAUGAGGCCACCCAGUAGUUAGGUGGGAAUUUUCGAGACCUUUGGCACCGUUCUAAGAUGGGUCCUCUCUUCGUAGGCUAAUGCAUUGGCCCUUUUUGACCCGUUUUGGGGCGAAAACAAAAACUGACUCCCGGGCAUAUUUUUC